This 634-nucleotide ribosomal RNA is filed under the name uncultured fungus. RNAcentral describes it as "eukaryotic LSU rRNA". It matches the Rfam family "Eukaryotic large subunit ribosomal RNA", at positions 37 to 652 of the family's 3401-position model. Lineage: Eukaryota; Fungi. The record is from RNAcentral.
AGCAUAUCAAUAAGCGGAGGAAAAGAAACUAACAAGGAUUCCCCUAGUAACUGCGAGUGAAGAGGGAAAAGCUCAAAUUUAAAAUCUGGUAUCCUUAGGGUGCUCGAGUUGUAAUUUGGAGAGGCGUUUUCUGUGCUGGACUGUGUAAAAGUUUCUUGGAAUAGAACAUCAUAGAGGGUGAGAAUCCCGUCUUUGACACAGACUACCAGUGCUCUGUGAUACGCUUUCAAAGAGUCGCGUUGUUUGGGAAUGCAGCGCUAAAUGGGUGGUAAAUUCCAUCUAAAGCUAAAUAUUGGCGAGAGACCGAUAGCGAACAAGUACCGUGAGGGAAAGAUGAAAAGCACUUUGGAAAGAGAGUUAAACAGUACGUGAAAUUGUUGAAAGGGAAACGCUUGAAGUCAGUCGCAUUGCUUUGGAUUCAGCCUUGCUCUUUUGCUUGGUGUAUUUCCUUUGUAAUGGGUCAGCAUCAAUUUUGUUCAGUGGAAAGAGGAUGGGGGAAUGUGGCACCUUCGGGUGUGUUAUAGCCCCUGUUUGUAUACAUUGAAUGGGAUUGAGGUCUGCAGCACGCCUUUAUGGCCGGGGUUCGCCCACGCAAGUGCUUAGGAUGCUGGCAUAAUGGCUUUAAGCGACCCGU